AACGUAGGAGACAACCGUUAUCCGGAGUUACUGGGCGUAAAGGGCGUGUAGGCGGUUUGUUAAGUCUGGCGUGAAAGCUCUCGGCUAAACCGGGAGAGGUCGUUGGAUACUGGCAAACUAGAGGACGGUAGAGGCGUGUGGAAUUCCGGGUGUAGUGGUGAAAUGCGUAGAGAUCCGGAGGAACGCCAGUGGCGAAGGCGACACGCUGGGCCGUACCUGACGCUAAAGCGCGACAGCAUGGGGAGCAAACGGG
RNAcentral lists this ribosomal RNA (253 nucleotides) under uncultured bacterium. RNAcentral describes it as "partial 16S ribosomal RNA". It matches the Rfam family "Bacterial small subunit ribosomal RNA", at positions 524 to 776 of the family's 1533-position model. The record is from RNAcentral.